Rattus norvegicus (Norway rat) is the source of this 2847-nucleotide non-coding RNA. NCBI's taxonomy places the organism in Eukaryota, Metazoa, Chordata, Mammalia, Rodentia, Muridae. The record is from RefSeq and is a predicted model, not a curated record.
UCAGUAGCUUUUCUGGCUCUUAAACUGUAAAGGAAUUAUAUAACACCUAAUAUUAUGAAAUUCAACUAUGCUCUUUAUGUAAUUGUGGUGUAUUUAUUCUCAUCUCUACGCAGAAUGUUCCAUGGUGUAAAGGACUAUCUAAUAUUGAUGGGAAUUUUCUUAAACUUUCUUGUCUAGGACUUCUAGAAACAUAGCUGUUGGGAAUAUUAUUUAUGUUACUUCUGGCUACAAUGCAUCCAUACUUAGCCUGAGUACGUACCGAAGAGUGGGAAUGUUGUAUCACAGAGAAUGUGGACUUUCAACUUCAGCAGAGACCACUAACAGCUUCCCAAAGCGGUUACCUAUCUUCACACAUCCCUCAAGUAAAAGCCCCCAGGAUAUCCCUAGCGUACUCAUCCUCAGUGCUGUCUGUCUCCUGUAUUGGGCUGUAUGUCCAAUACAAAGAUGUCCAUACCCUAUUCUCUGAAGCUCUAAGUAUUUUCUCAAACAGAGGAAGAAUGUGAGGAGAUCUCACCCUGGAUUAAUCAGGUCAUGUUUAUCCAUAUGCUUGUUACUGUGGGGAAGCUGGCUGCUGCAUCAUAAAGGCUCGUUGGUACUGGAAAGCUGAAGGAAGAGAUCACUUCCAUUGAAAUUCAAAGCCACCCUACACAAUAUAGUGAAACCCCCACUUCAAAAAAGCACCCAGUGCAGAAGCACAGAGACAGAAUUAACAAUACUAGGAAGACCGAGGCAAGAAGAUCAGACAGCAAGUUCCAGGACGGCCAGUGCUACACCUACCUUGUCUCAAAAAAUAAAACAAAGAAUUUGUCUUUUUCAAUCUGUUGGCAUAUAAAUCAGCAGUAUAAAAAAGAGGAUAAAACAGCUGAUAUCUUAGAGGUGGCACUGAAUUGUGUCAGAAGUUGUUAUACACUUUAUUAUUAUACAUUAAACAUGAAAGACAACAGUUCUUUUUGAAAAUUCAUUUUAUAUUUUAAGGCUCUCAUAUAGCCUAGGCUGGCCUACGUAGCUAUUUGGCUAAAUUUUUAUCUAAACCCUCUACCUCUCAAGUGCUAAGAUUACAGACAUGUGCUACUACUUACAAACUAUUGCUGGUGAUGGAACCCUGGGCAAUCAUUCUACCAACUCGGCUACCUCUAAAACUCCUGGGAAGGUCUUUAUCUCUUCUUAAAAGUUAAUCUUAUAGAGGUUAGAGGGAUGGGUAGCUAUGUGAGCAUGUUGCUCAGAGGAAAACCAUUACAUAAAAUCAUAACCAAUCAAAACGCAGAGUCAUGAAGUCCCACUGGAUGUAUCUACAAAACAUUCCUGCACCCAGGAGUAUUCUGCUCAAGGAGUAUUGCAGAAGAGGAGGCAGAAAGACUGUAAGAGCAAGAGGAUCAUGGAGGUUGUCCUUUCUUCUAGUAAUAUCAAACCCAUAAAGUCUUACCAACAUGAAUGGAAGAAAGUCCAUAAGGCCUUAAUCCUACACAAUCUUUUAAGUUCUUUUGUAUUAGUUCUCAACUAAGAAAUGAUGGCAGCAGGACUAAUAGUCUUCCCCAGGGCAAAACACACCAACUGACUACUGGAUACCAUAUGAUUAGUCCUAAAAUCAUACAUAUAAGUAACAUCAUAUACACUGAGCAUGUUAUAUUUAGGCAUGAAUAUACAUGAAUAUGUGUGUGUACAUGCAGGUAAUGAAGACACCAUGAAUUUGAAAGAGUGUAUGGGGGAGUAAUAUGGGAGUUUGGAGGGAGGAAAGGAAAUGGAGAAAUGACAUAAUUAUAUUAUAAUCUCAACAUUAAAAGGGAAAAAAGUAUACUGCUCUCUUUUUUAAAGGCUUAUUUACUUUAUGUAUAUGGGUGCUUUUCCUGGAAGUAUGUCUGAAUACCACAUGCAUGUCUGGUGCCAUGAUAUCAGAAGAGAAUGUUGGAUCUCCUGGAACUAGAGUUCAAGAUGGCUGUGAGCCUAUGUGAUGGUUUAAGUGAGAAUCACCCCCAUAAGCUCAUAUUUGAAAGCUUAAUCACCAAGGAGUAGAACUAUGUGAAAAGAUUAGGAGGUGGAAAGAAGUAUGUCACUGGGGAUGGUCUUUCAGGGUUGGAAAGCCCACAACAGGCCCAAUCUAUCUGUCUCUAUCUCUUUCUCAGACUUUGGAUCAGCUACUCCUCUAGUACCAUGUAUCCCUUUUAUGCCUCCAUGCUUCAAACCACAACAAUGCAAGAAACCUUGGAAAGUGUAAGGAAGCCCCCAAUAUAAUGCUUUCUUUAAGUGUUGCCUUGGUCAUGGUAUCACUUUAUAACAAUACAACAGUGACUAGGAUAGCUGCCAUGUGGGUGCUAGAAACUGAUUCUGAGUCUUUGCAAGAGCAGAAGGUACCCUUAACUGCUGAGCUAUCCCUCUAUUCCCAAAUAUUAGUUCCUAAUGAAACAAUACAAUUAUUAAUUUUAUUUAAUCUUUUUACAGAGUCUGCCAAAGUUUAUUCCUCUUUGAACCUUUCUGGGGUCAUGGCACCCUAGAAUAAAGCCUUCUUCGUGGUAGUUUCCUGUCCAUAUGAUACCAAUGGAAGUCUCUUUGAACUUUUCAUGGCUCUCAUUUCAGAGAACAGGCCUGCUUGCUGAGGAAACAGACUCCUACAAACCCAGAGGCAGACUGUUACAGCUACAGCUGCUGUAAUCAGGAGCAGUGCCUUCAGGAUCAACUGAAAGUUGAAUGAUGGACAAAUAACCUGUCUUUGAGGAUAGAAAAGAGAAAAAUCAGAUUUAAUACACAAAGCAUUUUUCUUUUCUUCUCAGAGUUGUAUUUUCGAUUUUCUAGAAUAGGGUUGGCAAACUUUUCCUCUAAGCACCAAUAAUAAAUACUGGGCUUUGUGAACUA